This 73-nucleotide transfer RNA is filed under the name Microscillaceae bacterium. Its description in RNAcentral is "tRNA-Gly". It matches the Rfam family "tRNA". From Rfam's summary of the family: Transfer RNA (tRNA) molecules are approximately 80 nucleotides in length. Their secondary structure includes four short double-helical elements and three loops (D, anti-codon, and T loops). Lineage: Bacteria; Pseudomonadati; Bacteroidota; Cytophagia; Cytophagales; Microscillaceae. The record is from RNAcentral.
GCUUUUGUAGCUCAGUUGGUAGAGCAUUUUCCUGCCAUGAAGGUGGUCGCAGGUUCGAUUCCUGUCAAAAGCG